ACCCCGGAAAGCCGAAAAGGGGUUUACAGAGUAGGCG
Non-coding RNA from Mucilaginibacter sp. OK098, 37 nucleotides. Lineage: Bacteria; Pseudomonadati; Bacteroidota; Sphingobacteriia; Sphingobacteriales; Sphingobacteriaceae. The record is from Rfam.